Molecule: ribosomal RNA, 446 nt
Filed under: uncultured bacterium
Lineage: Bacteria
Description: partial 16S ribosomal RNA
Rfam family: Bacterial small subunit ribosomal RNA
Source: RNAcentral
CCCAGACUCCUACGGGAGGCAGCAGUGGGGAAUAUUGCACAAUGGGGGAAACCCUGAUGCAGCGACGCCGCGUGAGCGAAGAAGUAUUUCGGUAUGUAAAGCUCUAUCAGCAGGGAAGAAAUUGACGGUACCUGAGUAAGAAGCUCCGGCUAAAUACGUGCCAGCAGCCGCGGUAAUACGUAUGGAGCAAGCGUUAUCCGGAUUUACUGGGUGUAAGGGGAGCGUAGGCGGCCUGCCAAGUCUGAUGUGAAAUACCGGGGCUCAACCCCGGGGCUGCAUUGGAAACUGGCAGGCUGGAGUGUCGGAGAGGCAGGCGGAAUUCCUAGUGUAGCGGUGAAAUGCAUAGAUAUCACGAAGAACCCCGAUUGCGAAGGCAGCAUACCGGCUCCACACUGACGCUGAGGCACGAAAGCGUGGGUAUCGAACAGGAUUAGAUACCCCGGUAA